This 800-nucleotide long non-coding RNA is filed under the name Ananas comosus (pineapple). RNAcentral describes it as "long non-coding RNA (ACOM_LNC014229)". The record is from RNAcentral. Lineage: Eukaryota; Viridiplantae; Streptophyta; Magnoliopsida; Poales; Bromeliaceae.
AGGUGUGGAGGCGGCAUUGGUUCUGGAAGAGGGUUGUCGGGGAGGAAGGAGUGGAGGUGCGAACGGUGGAGGCCGCGAAUUUGUCGAACCCGAACACGAACCCGAACCCAAACUAGUGAGAAGGGGUGGGUGGUGUUUGUGUUUGAGCUGCAAACAAUGGAGCACUCCUUUUAGCUGUAUCUUUCAAAUUUGCUGCAUCAUGUAAGCUUCAGAUAGUUGCUGCUACCAAUGUUUGCGCAUCAUGAACAAGCAUGUAAGAUAAGUAAAUCAAAUUGGCAACAAAAGGCAAAAUAAUUCUGCGCUCAGGGAAUUGAACGGAAUGCGAGCAAUUAUACUACACAGAUAGAAGUGGCGAGAUUUUCAUUGAUAUUUCACGAAAAAUCAGAAAAAAAAAAAAGAGAAAGAAAUACCUUGCCAAUUAAUUAAUUAAUCGUGUAAUAUUUCACGCUCGCUCUCAUCAUCAUAACCAAAAAAAAAAUUAGCUUGGAAUUUAGGAGAUUAAGGCGCAAUUAGCACAGGUGAACGAAUAAAAGGGCACGGGAAAUGGGAUCGUUCGAGAACCCUACCUCAUUAUCGUCGAUCUCGGCAUGCCGAUUGAGGGGAUUUGAAGGAGAAACCUUAAUUUGAAGGGAGAUUAGGGCUUGUAAUCGGAUUCCAUGGAAAUUAUUAUUAGGGUUACUGGGGAAGAAGAAAGGAGAGAGAGGAGUUGGGAGGGGUCGAACUGUACCUUAAUAAUUUUGCGAAAAGGAAACCAGAAUUGAACACGGGAAAGGCGGGACGCAAAAAGUACGUGUAUAUAU